This 1313-nucleotide ribosomal RNA is filed under the name oral metagenome. Its description in RNAcentral is "bacterial SSU rRNA". It matches the Rfam family "Bacterial small subunit ribosomal RNA". The record is from RNAcentral.
AGAGUUUGAUCCUGGCUCAGGAUGAACGCUAGCGAUAGGCUUAACACAUGCAAGUCGAGGGGCAGCAUAGAUUUAGCUUGCUAAAUUUGAUGGCGACCGGCGCACGGGUGCGUAACGCGUAUGCAACCUACCUGUAAUUAGGGGAUAGCUCGAUGAAAGUCGAAUUAAUACCCUAUAUGCUAUAUAAAUUGCAUGAUUUAUAUAGGAAAGAUUUAUUGAUUACAGAUGGGCAUGCGUUCCAUUAGCUAGUUGGUAAGGUAACGGCUUACCAAGGCGACGAUGGAUAGGGGGACUGAGAGGGAAAGCCUGAACCAGCCAAAUCGCGUGAAGGACGAAGGUCUUAUGGAUUGUAAACUUCUUUUGUAGAGGAAUAAUGGCAGUUACGUGUAACUGAGAUGCAUGUACUCUACGAAUAAGCAUCGGCUAACUCCGUGCCAGCAGCCGCGGUAAUACGGAGGAUGCGAGCGUUAUCCGGAUUUAUUGGGUUUAAAGGGUGUGUAGGUGGUUUUUUAAGUCAGAGGUGAAAAGCUGUAGCUCAACUAUAGUCUUGCCUUUGAAACUGGAGAACUAGAGAGAAGACGAGGUAUGCGGAAUGUGUAGUGUAGCGGUGAAAUGCAUAGAUAUUACACAGAACGCCGAUUGCGAAGGCAGCGUACCAGGCUUUAUCUGACACUAAAGCACGAAAGCGUGGGUAUCAAACAGGAUUAGAUACCCUGGUAGUCCACGCUGUAAACGAUGAAUACUAGAUUUUUGCGAUAUACAGUAAGAGUCUAAGCGAAAGCGAUAAGUAUUCCACCUGGGGAGUACGCCGGCAACGGUGAAACUCAAAGGAAUUGACGGGGGCCCGCACAAGCGGAGGAACAUGUGGUUUAAUUCGAUGAUACGCGAGGGCUGCAUGGUUGUCGUCAGCUCGUGCCGUGAGGUGUCGGCUUAAGUGCCAUAACGAGCGCAACCCGCGUUGAUAGUUACUAACAGGUAAAGCUGAGGACUCUAUCAAGACUGCCGUCGUAAGGCGAGAGGAAGGAGCGGAUGACGUCAAAUCAGCACGGCCCUUACAUCCAGGGCGACACACGUGUUACAAUGGCAAGGACAACGGGAAGCCACGUAGCGAUACGGAGCAGAUCCUCAAACCUUGUCCCAGUUCGGAUCGGAGUCUGCAACUCGACUCCGUGAAGCUGGAUUCGCUAGUAAUCGCGCAUCAGCCAUGGCGCGGCGGGGGUACCUGAAGAAUGUAACCGCAAGGAGCGUUUAAGGGUAAUACUGGUGACUGGGGCUAAGUCGUAACAAGGUAGCCGUACCGGAAGGUGUGGCUG